This is a non-coding RNA of Corylus avellana, 194 nucleotides long. The record is from RefSeq and is a predicted model, not a curated record. NCBI's taxonomy places the organism in Eukaryota, Viridiplantae, Streptophyta, Magnoliopsida, Fagales, Betulaceae.
GAUUAGAUGGUUUUGGGGUGAUGAUAUCGACAAGAUUGCUAUUAACGAUAUCUUUGAGGUCUCAUCAAAAGAAAGUGAAAUUGCUCCAUUAAUAUUGUUCGUGAAGCACAUAGAAAAGGCCAUGUGGUUUGGUGAAGGGGUGAAGUAUGUCAAAGCAGUUUUCUCUGAAGCUACUAAAAUUGCUCCCAGUGUUG